UACGGAGGAUGCAAGCGUUAUCCGGAAUCAUUGGGCGUAAAGAGUCCGUAGGUGGCCUGAGAAGUCCACAGUCAAAGACAGAAGCUCAACUUCUGAAAGGCAGUGGAAACUAGCAAGCUAGAGUGCGAGAGGGGUAAAGGGAAUUCCCAGUGUAGCGGUGAAAUGCGUAGAGAUUGGGAAGAACACCUGUGGCGAAGGCGCUUUACUGGAGCGACACUGACACUGAGGGACGAAAGCUAAGGGAGCGAAAGGG
RNAcentral lists this ribosomal RNA (253 nucleotides) under uncultured bacterium. RNAcentral's name for it is "partial 16S ribosomal RNA". It matches the Rfam family "Bacterial small subunit ribosomal RNA", at positions 524 to 776 of the family's 1533-position model. The record is from RNAcentral.